UCCUUCCUCGAAAUUAAUUUACAAGUCCGCCUCCGCCUCACAGCAGGUAUCCUUCCUACAAAUUAAUUUACAAGUCCGCCUGCCUUUAUGACGACUUCAACAUUCUCCAUCUUCUCUUUCGAAAUCCACAAAGAAACCACAACGCUUCUCAAAACCCAUAUAUAUUAAAGAGAUAUGAGACAAGUGUUUUAGGUGAAGGCAAGGGUUUUGUUUUGUUGAUCAAAAUCAUAUCGAAGGCAGAGUUUAUUAUAAUUUAUUAAUAAACGAUUAAUUAGCAUGGGAGAUUGCAGGCCACUGGGUUUCUUGCUGGGUUUGCCUUUUGCUUUGGUUGCAUUGGUCUUAUCUGUUGUUGGUGCUGUCAUCUGGGUUCUUGGGACGGUUUUGAGUUGCUUGUGUCCAUGCUGCAUUUGUGUUGGUGGGAUAGCGAAUUUGGCGGUCACUCUUAUCAAGCUUCCUGUAAAAAUAAUUAGAUGGUUCAUCGAUCAGAUCCCUUGUUGAAGAUGUCAGAGUUGGGUUUCUAGGGAAUUUGUAAGAUUAUUUCUUCUGAUUUUUCAGAAAAUUCAUGAUUUGUAAUUAGGUAGGAUAUUCGAUUACACCAUAUAUUGUUAGAUUAUAUGUUGCAUUUGUUAUUUUUCUUCAUCUGUGUCGAGUUGAUUAAGAGUUUGUGCACUGGGAUGGUAGAUGACUCCAUGAUGGUGGAUCGUGGGAUAGGAAGUUUUCUAAUUGAAUUUUUUUUUUUUUUUUGGUAUCAA
Prunus avium (sweet cherry) is the source of this 752-nucleotide non-coding RNA. The record is from RefSeq and is a predicted model, not a curated record. NCBI's taxonomy places the organism in Eukaryota, Viridiplantae, Streptophyta, Magnoliopsida, Rosales, Rosaceae.